This 582-nucleotide long non-coding RNA is filed under the name Mus musculus (house mouse). Its description in RNAcentral is "predicted gene, 49898". Lineage: Eukaryota; Metazoa; Chordata; Mammalia; Rodentia; Muridae. The record is from RNAcentral.
GGAGCAGAAGCCCAUGGCCUGGAGAAACGUAUAUUUUUCAGGAUUUGUCAUCCCCUGACUACACAGCACUCGGGACACACUCCUUCCUACCUGGAGUUUGGUAUUGAUAUUGAAUUCCUCAAUGGAGAACAGCCUUGGGAACCAGAGAGCCUGCUGCAGACUUACUGUGAAACCCAGCCUCUCCUCGGAGGACUAAGAAGAGAUGUCUUCUUCUGCCUUAUGGACUCUGAUUUCUCUCUCUCUCUCUCUCUCUCUCUCUCUCUGGAGACUCCAUCAUGCUGUUGCUUCUCUACCUGUCCAUGGAAUUAAUAGCUCUUCUAAUAAGUGUCUUAAUCCCUAGUAAUCUUUAAGGGUUCCUCUUGGACACCCUACCCCGCCACCACCAUCCAAAACCCAACAAUAACUGACCAUUUUCUCAGUUGUUGAUGUUUACUGGGAGAUAAAUAGCUUCAGAUAACAGUUAACGGGAUCUUGAUGAACAAACCAGAAAAGAGCUAGUACCAGCCAUGGGGAUGCAGUGUUAGGAGGGCUGGUUUCUGGAGACAUGCCAGCGCCUGGAAGCACACACUCUCCCAGGUCAUC